UUUCCGACCACAAUAGUUGGAAAUAAGUUAAUCUUUGACCAUUUUUUCGGCUACAACAGUCGAAAUUUUAAAAGAUAAAUAAUUAAAAAUUUUAAUGUCCGACUACCGUAGUCGGACAAUAAACAGAUCUAACUGUACAUUGCCCCAUAUUAUUUCGGUCUCUCUCUCUCUCCCUCUCUACACGAUCUCCCCCUCAGCGGCAGCAACCCCUUAAUUUAGCUGCUAUUUCCAGCGAUUCGAUUCGUCCAGAUGCCGAUUCACGAGGAAAGGGCUUGUUGGAGUAGAGAUUUGUACGGUUUGAGAUCUAGGUACUUCUGGGUACGAUGGUUGCUAGCUUUGGAGCUUUUUCUGUUUGGAGACUAUUGAGGUAGCUGCCUUGGCAUCCGCAGACCUCGACUUUAAUUCUUUUCAGUUCAUUUGUACUAUUCUAUCUUUCUAGACAGUUGUUUUAGUAGUUAGAUUGUAUUGUCAGAUAUAUGCUCAUGCACUUUGUGACACUGGAUUUUGGGGAAUUUUGUAUUAAGUCGCGAUACUUUUUUAUAAGUUAUUUAUGACAUUUUCACUAUUUAAUAUUAUUA
Long non-coding RNA from Nicotiana attenuata, 578 nucleotides. RefSeq lists it as uncharacterized. The record is from RefSeq and is a predicted model, not a curated record. The transcript has 3 exons. NCBI's taxonomy places the organism in Eukaryota, Viridiplantae, Streptophyta, Magnoliopsida, Solanales, Solanaceae.